Molecule: ribosomal RNA, 490 nt
Filed under: uncultured bacterium
Lineage: Bacteria
Description: partial 16S ribosomal RNA
Rfam family: Bacterial small subunit ribosomal RNA
Source: RNAcentral
GUUGAACGCUGGCGGCAGGCUUAACACAUGCAAGUCGAGCGGUAACAGAGAGGAGCUUGCUUCUCUGCUGACGAGCGGCGGACGGGUGAGUAAUGCCUAUGAAUCUGCCUAGUAGUUGGGGAUAACUUGCCGAAAGGUAAGCUAAUACCGCAUACGUCCUACGGGAGAAGGGUGGAGAGCUUCAGGCCUUUCGCUAUUAGAUUAGCCUAGGUCGGAUUAGUUAGUUGGUGAGGUAAUGGCUCACCAAGACCGCGAUCCGUAACUGGUCUGAGAGGAUGAUCAGUCACACUGGAACUGAGACACGGUCCAGACUCCUACGGGAGGCAGCAGUGGGGAAUAUUGGACAAAGGGGGGAACCCUGAUCCAGCCAUGCCGCGUGUGUGAAGAAGGUCUUAGGAUUGUAAAGCACUUUAAGUUGGGAGGAAGAGCAGUUAACUAAUAUUUGACUGUUUUGACGUUACCGACAGAAUAAGCACCGGCUAACUUCGUG